Molecule: ribosomal RNA, 416 nt
Filed under: uncultured bacterium
Lineage: Bacteria
Description: bacterial SSU rRNA
Rfam family: Bacterial small subunit ribosomal RNA
Source: RNAcentral
UGAGUAACACGUAUCCAACCUGCCGCUUACUCGGGGAUAGCCUUUCGAAAGAAAGAUUAAUACCCGAUGGUAUAAAGAGUUCGCAUGUUCUCUUUAUUAAAGAAUUUCGGUAAGCGAUGGGGAUGCGUUCCAUUAGAUAGUUGGCGGGGUAACGGCCCACCAAGUCUACGAUGGAUAGGGGUUCUGACGAGGAAGGUCCCCCACAUUGGAACUGAGACACGGUCCAAACGUCCUACGGGAGGCAGCAGUGUGGAAUAUUGGUCAAUGGACGAGAGUCUGAACCAGCCCCAAGUAGCGUGAAGGAUGACUGCCCUAUGGGUUGUAAACUUCUUUUAUAAGGGAAUAAAGUGAGGGACGUGUCCCUUUUUGUAUGUACCUUAUGAAUAAGGAUCGGCUAACUCCGUGCCAGCCGCCGC